UGUGUCUGCUGUUUUAAUUUUGUUGCUAAUUUGUAAGUGAAAAUGAUUAGCUGUCAUUUCAGUGUGCGAUGCCUAGAAAGUAACUGUUACAAUAGCAAAUAUGA
Long non-coding RNA from Etheostoma cragini (Arkansas darter), 104 nucleotides. RefSeq lists it as uncharacterized. NCBI's taxonomy places the organism in Eukaryota, Metazoa, Chordata, Actinopteri, Perciformes, Percidae. The transcript has 3 exons. The record is from RefSeq and is a predicted model, not a curated record.